UGAGGAAUUUUGGACAAUGGGCGCAAGCCUGAUCCAGCCAUGCCGCGUGCGGGAAGAAGGCCUUCGGGUUGUAAACCGCUUUUGUCAGGGAAGAAAUCUUCUGAGUUAAUACCUCGGGAGGAUGACGGUACCUGAAGAAUAAGCACCGGCUAACUACGUGCCAGCAGCCGCGGUAAUACGUAGGGUGCAAGCGUUAAUCGGAAUUACUGGGCGUAAAGCGUGCGCAGGCGGUUUUGUAAGACAGAGGUGAAAUCCCCGGGCUCAACCUGGGAACUGCCUUUGUGACUGCAAGGCUUGAGUGCGGCAGAGGGGGAUGGAAUUCCGCGUGUAGCAGUGAAAUGCGUAGAUAUGCGGAGGAACACCGAUGGCGAAGGCAAUCCCCUGGGCCUGCACUGACGCUCAUGCACGAAAGCGUGGGGAGCAAACAGGAUUAGAUACCCUGGUAGUCCACGCCCUAAACGAUGUCAACUGGUUGUUGGGAAGGUUCCUUCUCAGUAACGUAGCUAACGCGUGAAG
RNAcentral lists this ribosomal RNA (516 nucleotides) under uncultured bacterium. RNAcentral's name for it is "partial 16S ribosomal RNA". It matches the Rfam family "Bacterial small subunit ribosomal RNA", at positions 355 to 864 of the family's 1533-position model. The record is from RNAcentral.